UCGGUCAAUUUUUUAACCAAAAUUUCUAGACUUGUACAUGAGUAUAUAUAGUAAUAUGAUUAGUGUUUUUAAGGUGCCAAGAUAGGCAUUUAAUUAAAUGCAAGAUGCAGAAUGUUGUUUUUCAUUACCACUGGUUCUUAUUAUUAGUUGUUGACAAUCUCUCAUGAGAUUUUUUUUAAUACAAGAUUGCUUGCCUAUACUGUGAUUCUUUGAAUGAUCAUCUACAUGGGAAUCUUUGGAGAUUAUCAAAUGGAAGAAAAAGAGAAUGCUCCUGUCAUAGCAUGAUCAGACGAAGAUUUUCACACAAUGUCAUACUCAUCCAGUACGUCUCCUAUGAAUAACCUGGAAUUGUCUUCUUAACUUCUUAUUAAUGGGGAAACCCCAUGAAUGGUUUGUCAAUAGAGCUUCAUUCAUGCUAUUGCAAAUGUGCGGAAGGUAAUAAUGAUGCAUUUGCACUAUUGGGGAGUUUUUCCCAGACUGCACUUCAGCACAGGCUAUUCGCCCUCACUGGGAUCAUUUUCAGAGUUGACUUCUGUCUCAUUUCAGGUACAGAGAACUAUUUUAUUUGAGCUGGAUAUAUAUCAUGUUGUUAAAUAUAAAAAAAAAUUAUUUUGUUCUGUUUGGGACAGAACCAUAUUUUUCAGACAUGCACAGUAGCCUGAUAAUGACACAUGAAACAUCCAAUGAUGAUAUACUAAUGAUAUAGCAACGUGCUUGGCUUUUGUAUGCAGAACAUGAGUGCACUUUUGUUUCAUUAUUAUUUCAUUAUAGCGAUUGCACAACUGUACAGAACUUAUGCUCCUGUUAUCUUCUGUGUGAAUAUUGUGGAAUUGGUCCUAGUGUGAUAAUCUCCUUUGUGCCUGUGCAGACCAUCUUCAGAAACUUCUAGAGCUAGAUCUCUUUGGCUGGGAGCCCACCCUUUCCUAUACCACGCAUGCUCACUUCCAUGUCCAUGAGAGCAGCUAGCAACCAAGGAAGUCGAACACAGCAAUAGAAGGACGAAGAAUGGAUUGUGUGAGUUCACUCAUGACCACUUGAAGAACCAGUUACAGGAGCUGGCCGUUCUCAUCCAGAAACCUUGCUGGGUGGAAAUCAUCUGGUUCCUCCCAUAUCCUGGGAUCUCGGUGGACAGACCACAAGUUAGGAAUGAUUACGCUGCCCUUUGGAAUAGUGUAGCCUUGAAGCACUU
This is a long non-coding RNA of Sceloporus undulatus (fence lizard), 1189 nucleotides long. RefSeq lists it as uncharacterized. The record is from RefSeq and is a predicted model, not a curated record. The transcript is spliced from 3 exons. NCBI's taxonomy places the organism in Eukaryota, Metazoa, Chordata, Lepidosauria, Squamata, Phrynosomatidae.